Molecule: ribosomal RNA, 1360 nt
Filed under: Chlorocebus sabaeus (green monkey)
Lineage: Eukaryota; Metazoa; Chordata; Mammalia; Primates; Cercopithecidae
Description: Bacterial large subunit ribosomal RNA
Rfam family: Bacterial large subunit ribosomal RNA
Source: Rfam by way of RNAcentral
UGUCUUUUCUAUAAUUGCCUCCACUAAUCUUUUACAGUUUUUGUUGUACAAAUCUUUUACCUUCUUUAGUAUAUUUAUUUAUAUAUUAAUUAUAUAUCAAUCUCGCAAAGAGAACUAAAGCCAGAUUUCCCUGAAACCAGACGAGCUACCCAAGAACAGCUGAAAGAGCGUACCCGUCUUAUGUAGCAAAAUAGUGGGAAGAUUUAUGGGUAGAGGUGACAAAUCUACCGAGCCUGGUGAUAGCUGGUUAUCCAAGACAGAAUUUUAGUUCAACCUUAAGUUUACCUACAGAACUACUCAAUCCCUCUGUAAACUUAAUUGUUAUUCUAAAGAGGGACAGCUCUUCAGACAUUAGGAAAAAACCUUGUACAGAGAGUAAAAAAAAUAACCUCCAUAGUUGGCCCAAAAGCAGCCAUCAAUUAAGAAAGCAUUCAAGCUCAACAUCAACCACAUAAAAAUUCCAAACAUAUCACUAAACUCCUUAUACCACAUUGGAUUAAUCUAUCACUUCAUAGAAGCAAUAAUGCUAAUAUAAGUAACAUGAACAUUUUCUCCACCGCAUAAGCCUAAAUCAGAUAGAAAAACUCACCGAUACUUAACAGCCCAACACUAACAAACACAAACAAGCCAAUGUUACCCACACUGUUAACCCAACACAGGCAUGCCUUAAGGAAAGGUUAAAAAAAGUAAAAGGAACUCAGCAAACUUAACCCCGCCUGUUUACCAAAAACAUCACCUCUAGCAUUACCAGUAUUAGAGGCACUGCCUGCUCAGUGACACACGUUCAACGGCCGCGGUACCCUGACCGUGCAAAGGUAGCAUAAUCACUUGUUUCUUAAAUGGGGACUCGCAUGAAUGGCACCACGAGGGUUCAACUGUCUCUUACUUUCAACCAGUGAAAUUGACCUGCCCGUGAAGAGGCGGGCAUGAAACAAUAAGACGAGAAGACCCUAUGGAGCUUUAAUUUAUUAAUGCAAUCAAAACUAUAUAAAUCUACGGACCCUUACGUCACUACACCUGCAUUAAAAAUUUUGGUUGGGGUGACCUCGGAGCACAGUCAAACCUCCGAACAAUCCAUGCUAAGACUACACAAGCCAAAGCAGACCAGCGCCUGUAAUUGAUCCAAUAACUUGACCAACGGAACAAGUUACCCUAGGGAUAGUAGCGCAAUCCUAUUCCAGAGCCCAUAUCGACAAUAGGGUUUACGACCUCGAUGUUGGAUCAGGACAUCCUAAUGGUGCAGCAGCUAUCAAGGGUUCGUUUGUUCAACGAUUAAAGCCCUAUGUGAUCUGAGUUCAGACCGAAGCAAUCCAGGUCAGUUUCUAUCUAUUCUGUAUUUCUCCCUGUACGAAAGGACAAG